CUCCUUAAUACUGAAAGCACUUUAUUAAAUAGGCUCUCUAUGACACCAUGUCAAAGAUGGACAUUUCUGUAUAUAAAAAAGUGACUAUCAAAGUUGCUUGUUGUUAGCCUGGAACACCUGCCCUUAAUCACCAUCACUGAAACACCUCUGUCCAGCUCUGCCUACUCACUUAUCAGUGCUGGGAGACACAAACAGAGUUAAACAUCACCAUCAAUUGGGAGGUAUGUGCUAAAGGUAAUAUAGUAAUAGUGUAUUUGAACCAUUGGCCUGACUGGUACAGGCAGGUAGGGUCUCUGAUUGGCCACUCCUUCUAGCUAUUUACUAAUCGUUCAUAAUAUCAAAGUUUCUGAAAAGAACUAAUAUAUUAUUGCUUGGUUUAUAUAAAUCUCCAUGUCUAAUCACAAGCAUGUGUAUCCAGGUUUAACUUCUAAAUUAAAAAUGUAAAUCUUUCAGCGAUUUUUGGAACAAAGCAGAUCCACGAAUGCGAAUGCUUCUCCCAGUGGCAUUGAAAUAUCUCAUAUUACAAUAAUACAAUGUGUAGUAUAAUGUCAAUAAACCACCAUAACCACUACAGCCUGCAGUAGUGGUUAUGGUGCCAGGAGAAACCUGGCGCCAUCCCUCGCUAUGAUGUCAAAAAAAUGUUAGCACUGACAACUGUAAAGUAAAAAAAAACAAUAUUCGCAAACAAUAUAUUAUAUCUCCCAGCACUGAGAGGUAUGAAUGCAGGACAUGCGUGGGCAAGUGACAAAGUGUGGGUCACCCAGUGGUGGAUCUGUCGGCAAAAG
Pelobates cultripes (western spadefoot toad) is the source of this 785-nucleotide non-coding RNA. NCBI's taxonomy places the organism in Eukaryota, Metazoa, Chordata, Amphibia, Anura, Pelobatidae. The record is from the annotation of a GenBank genome assembly.